GCCUAUCCCCCGGCCGGCGGCGUUGGCGGGGAGGGGGACAGUAGUUGUAGACGCCCGCCCCUGCCUCAGAGAAGCUUCCUGGUUGUUGCACGGUCUCACCAUUUGGGGAAAGUCCAUGCUAGAAAACUGAAGCAAUUAAUGGGGGAAUAUGAUCAGAUUUCUUCACCAAGUUCCCAGCCUGAUAAAGAGAACCCCUUGUUGUCAACCUAAUGAAGCAUUCAAAGAAGACAUAUGACUCUUUUCAAGAUGAACUUGAAGAUUAUAUCAAAGUGCAGAAAGCCAGAGGCUUAGAGCCAAAGACUUGUUUCAGAAAGAUGAGAGAGGACUGUUUGGAAACUUGUGGGUACAAAGAAGAGGUUGAUUACAGACCGAGGCAUAGAAUGUUUGAUCACAGACUCUCAUC
Puma concolor (puma) is the source of this 403-nucleotide non-coding RNA. The record is from RefSeq and is a predicted model, not a curated record. Lineage: Eukaryota; Metazoa; Chordata; Mammalia; Carnivora; Felidae.